This 497-nucleotide ribosomal RNA is filed under the name uncultured bacterium. RNAcentral's name for it is "partial 16S ribosomal RNA". The record is from RNAcentral.
GUAGUUAGCCGGGGCUUCCUCCUUGGCUACCGUCACUUUCUUCGUCACCAAGGACAGAGGUUUACAACCCGAAAGCCUUCUUCCCUCACGCGGCGUUGCUGGGUCAGGCUUGCGCCCAUUGCCCAAUAUUCCCCACUGCUGCCUCCCGUAGGAGUCUGGACCGUGUCUCAGUUCCAGUGUGGCCGAUCAGCCUCUCAGCUCGGCUACCCAUCGUUGGCUAGGUGGGCCGUUACCCCGCCUACUACCUAAUGGGACGCGAACCCCUCCUUUAGCGGAUUUCUCCUUUGACCUCUGUGUCAUGCGGCACUGUGGUCUUAUGCGGUAUUAGCACCUGUUUCCAAGUGUUAUCCCCCUCUAAAGGGCAGGUUGUUCACGCGUUACUCACCCGUUCGCCGGUCGUCACCCGAAGUGUUACCCCUCGACUUGCAUGUGUUAAGCCUGUAGCUAGCGUUCAUCCUGAGCAGAUCACCUCUACUAGAGACGGCGCGCGAGACGCG